CGCUGACAUCAGCUGCCAGCUAACGUGGAUUUAGCAAAUGAAGAGAGCCAACAUGUAGGUCCUCCACCUCCUUCUGCUUGACCCUCCUGGAAGAGUCCCCAGGUCAGCGUUGAUUGUGGUGAUUUUCACCGUGCGCAAGCUCUACGCCAGCACAGAGCCGUUCCUCCCUCUCGUCCCCCGGCAGACCCCUGCUGCAGACACCCACGGCUCCGGCUCCCCCCGCAGCUCCCUUCCCGGCCGGCACCCCGGAUGUGCCCCGUCCCUCGGGCGUCAGCACGUGUCCCGUAGCGUCUCUCCUUGCCCCUCGGCAGGACGCAUCCCGGCGAUGGAGGUAAAUGCAGAAAACAAAAUGGAGCAAUAAAAGUGC
Molecule: long non-coding RNA, 367 nt
Organism: Grus americana (Whooping crane)
Lineage: Eukaryota; Metazoa; Chordata; Aves; Gruiformes; Gruidae
Exons: 3
Source: RefSeq, a predicted model, not a curated record